This 434-nucleotide ribosomal RNA is filed under the name uncultured Ruegeria sp. RNAcentral describes it as "bacterial SSU rRNA". It matches the Rfam family "Bacterial small subunit ribosomal RNA", at positions 491 to 927 of the family's 1533-position model. The record is from RNAcentral. Lineage: Bacteria; Pseudomonadati; Pseudomonadota; Alphaproteobacteria; Rhodobacterales; Roseobacteraceae.
UCCCAGGGAUUUCCCCGGGACCCGCGGUAAUACGGAGGGGGUUAGCGUUGUUCGGAAUUACUGGGCGUAAAGCGCGCGUAGGCGGACUGGAAAGUUGGGGGUGAAAUCCCAGGGCUCAACCCUGGAACUGCCUCCAAAACUAUCAGUCUAGAGUUCGAGAGAGGUGAGUGGAAUUCCGAGUGUAGAGGUGAAAUUCGUAGAUAUUCGGAGGAACACCAGUGGCGAAGGCGGCUCACUGGCUCGAUACUGACGCUGAGGUGCGAAAGUGUGGGGAGCAAACAGGAUUAGAUACCCUGGUAGUCCACACCGUAAACGAUGAAUGCCAGUCGUCGGGUAGCAUGCUAUUCGGUGACACACCUAACGGAUUAAGCAUUCCGCCUGGGGAGUACGGUCGCAAGAUUAAAACUCAAAGGAAUUGACGGGGGGCCCGCAUA